CCUACGGGAGGCAGCAGUGGGGGAUAUUGCACAAUGGGGGAAACCCUGAUCCAGCGAUGCCGCGUGAAUGAAGACGUAUUUCGGUAUGUAAAGCUCUAUCACCAGGGAAGAAAAUGACGGUACCUUACUAAGAAGCCCCGGCUAACUACGUGCCAGCAGCCGCGGUAAUACGUAGGGGGCAAGCGUUAUCCGGAUUUACUGGGUGUAAAGGGAGCGUAGGCGGUGAAGCAAGUCUGAUGUGAAAGCUAGGGGCCCAACCCCAUGGCUGCUUUCGAAACUGUUGACCUGGAUGAAAGUAGAGGCAGGCGGAAUUCCUAGUGUAGCGGUGAAAUGCGUAGAUAUUAGGAGGAACACCAGUGGCGAAGGCGGCCUGCUGGGCUUUAACUGACGCUGAGGCUCGAAAGCGUGGGUAGCAAACAGGAUUAGAUACCCUUGUAGUC
This 440-nucleotide ribosomal RNA is filed under the name uncultured bacterium. RNAcentral's name for it is "partial 16S ribosomal RNA". It matches the Rfam family "Bacterial small subunit ribosomal RNA", at positions 338 to 795 of the family's 1533-position model. The record is from RNAcentral.